RNAcentral lists this long non-coding RNA (635 nucleotides) under Lathyrus oleraceus (garden pea). RNAcentral describes it as "Pisum sativum (pea) long non-coding RNA (PSAT_LNC009148)". The record is from RNAcentral. Lineage: Eukaryota; Viridiplantae; Streptophyta; Magnoliopsida; Fabales; Fabaceae.
ACACUUUAGUGAUCGAGCUGAGAGUUUAUCAAGACCAGGAGAGAGAUUGUGUACAAAACAUAUGGACCCGAAGACUCGGGGAGGAAUUGGGUGAAGUGUGGAAUUGGGAAAAAGGAUUGAAUGAGGGAUUUUAUUGUUAAGGACAGAUGAGGGCAUGCGAUUUAUAAGGUAACAUGCCGUUAGCACAGCAUCCCCCCAAAACCGAAGUGGAACAUUACCAUGGAGAAGUAGGAUCCGAGUGGUUUCUACAAGAUGCCGAAUUUUGCGUUCGGCUACCCCGUUUUGUUGAGGUGUGUGAGGGCAAGAUGUUUGAUGACGAAUACCAUUGCGUGACAUAAAGUUCUGAAAUUGUUGGGAUAAAUAUUCACGGGCAUUGUCACUUCCGAAGGUACGGAUAGACACACCGAAUUGAAUUCUUAUUUCUUGAUAGAAUUGUUCAAAAAUAGAAAAUAAUUCAGAUCUAUUCUUCAUUAAAAAUAACCACGUGCAACGUGAAAAAUCAUCAAUAAAGGUGACAAAAUACCUAGACUCAAGAGUAGAGACAGUACGCGAGGGACCCUAAUAAUUCAGAUCUAUUCUUCAUUAAAAAUAACCACGUGCAACGUGAAAAAUCAUCAAUAAAGGUGACAAAAUAC